AUGGCUCAGUGAGGCCUUGGGACUGGCUCAGAGAGGUCGGCAACGACCACUCAGAGCCGGAAACUUGGUCAAACUUGGUCAUUUAGAGGAAGUAAAAGUCGUAACAAGGUUUCCGUAGGUGAACCUGCGGAAGGAUCAUUAAAGAGUUAGGGUCUCUUGCAGGCCCGACCUCCCAACCCAAUGUUUAUUGAACCUUUAUUGUUGCUUCGGCGGGCCCGCCCUGACUGGGCCGCCGGAGGGUCACCGCCCGGUGUCCUCUGGCCCGCGCCCGCCGAUGGCCUCUUUAACUUCUGCAUGAAUCGUGUCAUACACAUGUCUAAGUCUUGAUUGAUAAAUCAAAAGCAAAACUUUCAACAACGGAUCUCUUGGUUCUGGCAUCGAUGAAGAACGCAGCGAAAUGCGAUAAGUAAUGCGAAUUGCAGAAUUCCAGUGAGUCAUCGAAUCUUUGAACGCACAUUGCGCCCUUUGGUAUUCCGAAGGGCAUGCCUGUUCGAGCGUCAUUAUCACCACUCGAGCCCCCCCGGGGUUUGGUAUUGGAGGCUGUGGUCGGGAACGACCCCUCUAAAAGACAAUGACGGCGGCCCGACGGCGCCCCCGGUACACUGAGCUUCGUAACUGAGCACGUAUCGGAUAAAGGGUGCCCGGGACCCGGUCUUCUCCCUCACGGGAAACUUUACCAGGUUGACCUCGGAUCAGGUAGGAAUACCCGCUGAACUUAAGCAUAUCAAUAAGCGGAGGAAAAGAAACCAACAGGGAUUGCCUCAGUAACGGCGAGUGAAGCGGCAACAGCUCAAAUUUGAAAUCUGGCUCCUUUGGAGUCCGAGUUGUAAUUUGUAGAGGAUGUUUCGGGUACCGCUCCGGUUUAAAUUUCUUGGAACAGAAUGUCAGAGAGGGUGAGAAUCCCGUCUUGGACCGGUGGUAGGGCUCAUGUGAAACUCCCUCGACGAGUCGAGUUGUUUGGGAAUGCAGCUCAAAAUGGGUGGUAAAUUUCAUCUAAAGCUAAAUAUUGGCCAGAGACCGAUAGCGCACAAGUAGAGUGAUCGAAAGAUGAAAAGCACUUUGAAAAGAGAGUUAAACAGUAUGUGAAAUUGUUGAAAGGGAAGCGCUUGCAACCAGACUUGAGCGUGACGGUUCCCCCUUCCUUUUGGUUGGGCUACUCCGUCAUGUCCAGGCCAACAUCGGUUCUGGGGGUCGGUUAAAGGCCCUGGGAAUGUAUCUACCUCCGGGUCGACUUAUAGCCCAGGGUGUCAUGCGACCACCCGGGACCGAGGAACGCGCUUCGGCUCGGAUGUUGGCGUAAUGGUUGUAAGCGACCCGUCUUGAAACACGGACCAAGGAGUCUAACAUCUAUGCGAGUGUUUGGGUGUCAAACCCGGAACGCGAAAUGAAAGUGAACGGAGGUAGGAAGCUUCGGCUGCACUAUCGACCGAUCCUGAUGUCUUCGGAUGGAUUUGAGUAAGAGCAUAGCUGUUGGGACCCGAAAGAUGGUGAACUAUGCCUGAAUAGGGUGAAGCCAGAGGAAACUCUGGUGGAGGCUCGCAGCGGUUCUGACGUGCAAAUCGAUCGUCAAAUUUGGGUAUAGGGGCGAAAGACUAAUCGAACC
This 1603-nucleotide ribosomal RNA is filed under the name Chaetothyriales sp. MP-2014. RNAcentral describes it as "eukaryotic LSU rRNA". The stretch from base 683 to 1603 matches the Rfam family "Eukaryotic large subunit ribosomal RNA", at positions 1 to 941 of the family's 3401-position model. Lineage: Eukaryota; Fungi; Ascomycota; Eurotiomycetes; Chaetothyriales. The record is from RNAcentral.